GACGAACGCUGGCGGCGUGCUUAACACAUGCAAGUCGAACGGAAAGGCCCUGCUUGCAGGGUGCUCGAGUGGCGAACGGGUGAGUAACACGUGGGUGAUCUGCCCCUUACUUUGGGAUAAGCCUGGGAAACUGGGUCUAGUACUGGAUAGGACCAUGCUGUAGGUGGUGUGGUGGAAAGAUUAGUUUCGGUAAGGGAUGAGCUCGCGGCCUAUCAGCUUGUUGGUGGGGUAAUGGCCUACCAAGGCGUCGACGGGUAGCCGGCCUGAGAGGGUGGACGGCCACAUUGGGACUGAGAUACGGCCCAGACUCCUACGGGAGGCAGCAGUGGGGAAUAUUGCACAAUGUGCGCAAGCCGGAUGCAGCGACGCCGCGUGGGGGAUGACGGCCUUCGGGUUGUAAACUCCUUUCAGCCAUGACGAAGCCCUUGUGGUGACGGUAGUGGUAGAAGAAGCACCGGCUAACUACGUG
RNAcentral lists this ribosomal RNA (469 nucleotides) under uncultured bacterium. Its description in RNAcentral is "partial 16S ribosomal RNA". It matches the Rfam family "Bacterial small subunit ribosomal RNA", at positions 28 to 507 of the family's 1533-position model. The record is from RNAcentral.